UCUAAAGAUCAAAGACAUUUGUAAUUCAACCAUCCCCACAUUACAGGAAAGAGAUUUUGGAGAAAUUUGUUCAGAGGCCUGAGAACCCUUGAAGGAGAACAAACUCAAUUGUAACACGCUUUCCUGAAACAUGGCACUACAGAAGAAUGCAGUGCUUAACAUAUCAAUGAAAAACACGGCCAGACAGCCAAUAUUCGGCCAAAAUCAUUGGAGGGGCCUUAAACAGCUUUCGCUUUUCAUUUAACGAGGAAGUAACAACUUGACGCAGUCUCCUAAACCUGUUAACGCUCGUGAACGACUGCGAUGUUAACCAACAGAUAUUCAUCGUGUUUGCACCAGGAAUCUCGAAGUGCAAUCUUUGCUAUUGAUAGACAAGUAAAUGCUAACAGUUCUCAGGAUAGAAUUAACAGAACGACGCCAGACAUAUGGAUACUACAUUGAUAUUCUUGUUAAUUAUUAAAAAUACCACUAAGGCUGUGAAUGUGACGGAGUGAGAGUCAGUGUCUCUGAACUGCACCAUUGGUGGCGAUGGAAGUUAUACUUGGGAACGCCGGGAUGGAAUCGAGAUCGAAAACGCGAAAAGACAGGUUAAAGGUGGGGGACGACUGCUUGAAAUAAAGAACACGACCAUUAUAGAUUCUGGUGCCUACACCUGCAAAAUAGGAAAAAACUCUCACACCAUGAUACUGCAGGUUGUAGUUCAAGUCAAGGUGGAAAUGGCCUUGAAGGUUGAAAAUUACAACUACACAAUAGAACUGGAGAAUAAGUCAUCGCCACAAUACAAGGAAAUCGAGGAAAAUCUUACCGCUGAG
RNAcentral lists this long non-coding RNA (812 nucleotides) under Stylophora pistillata. RNAcentral's name for it is "uncharacterized LOC111324193, transcript variant X1". Lineage: Eukaryota; Metazoa; Cnidaria; Anthozoa; Scleractinia; Pocilloporidae. The record is from RNAcentral.